GUAUCAAAAUUUAUUGCCCAAACCAUCAUACAUUCAAUCAAGUGUGUGUGGAAUAAACAUAGACUCGAUUCCUCGAGCCUACAAAGAGUGCACAAGGGGGUGAGUGGGAGAAGAAGAAAAUCACCAAGGAGUGCACAUGCCCAUUUGAAAAAGGCCAGCAAGCAUCCAAGGUUUGCUUUCUCAGUAAUGAUCCUUCCGCAGGUUCACCUACGGAAA
Molecule: unclassified non-coding RNA, 216 nt
Filed under: uncultured fungus
Lineage: Eukaryota; Fungi
Description: sequence contains ITS1
Source: RNAcentral